AGCAGAGACUUCUUAAGUGACACCUAGCAAAGAAGGAAAUGUGUUUAUAUAGUAAAACAAUGGUGCAUUAGGGUUAUUCAUUUAACCAGUUUCUAACAUAUUUGUAAUUUGAUUUGCAGCUCAGAACCAGCUUUGUAGUGAUUCAUCCUCCACUUAACCAGAGGCUUUUAAAGUCAAGACAGAUAAGUGUUUUGACAUUCUCAGCUGGGAAUCAUGCCCUUAACUCUCAUAUUUAUACAUAGUCUCUUGACUGCUUGGAUAGUAUAGCUGAGUCUUUAUCCAAGGGCAUAAUUGUCAGCCAGUGAUGGGUUUUGAAGGGCAGUCUGCAUAACAUGUCAAGUGUUGUCUCCUCUGCGAGAAGUCUCUCCUCAGUGACAGCGCUGUCAUAGUGGCACCUUGUGGCAAUCUCUUUACAAUGAAAGAAACCAAUGGCUUUUUCUCAACUUUCUCUUUUUACUUGCAACAGUGCUCAUCAAUAUGCAUAUGGAAAUGCCACGAUCUGGGUAGCUGAUUAGCUAAGGAGGUAGGCCACAGGUUAAGUCUGGCCCAAGGAAAGUAGGUUCUGUUAUAUGUCAGUCAACCUAUUAUCAGAUGAUCCUUUGUCACACCCAGAUAUUUGUUUUCUCUUGUGAUGGUGAUGGUGGCAUGGCAAGAGACACUGUAUCUCCCAUCUUCAAAAUUUCUCUUAACAAGAUCACUAAUAACUGUUGUUUCUUUUGUACUACCUCGACUGGAGGGCAAUUCACUCAAGUUAUCAGCUCACCCUUGGCGACUGAAGAUAGCAAAGCUGGAUUUUUAUAAAACAUCUGUCCAGACCGUUCACCGGGAUAACCUUCCAACUGCUUCUAUUAACUUGUACAUAAUACAGAUCCUCAGCUGGGUGAACAUCAUUAAAGCGCCAUUGAUUUUAGCCUGGCAGUACUCUAAUUACUAUCCAGUACCAGGUAUUCUUCUAAAAGGCUUUUGAUGGCUCCAAUCAUUCCUCCAAACUGGGACCAAGAAAGUGUUGGGGAACUCCUCCUUUUCCUAUGAGCUCUCACUUUCCAUCACUGAUGAAAACUAUGAGAGUGCUUGGGAAAUCUGAGAGACACCAUUGCCAACAGUACAUUGAUAGAUCGAAUCUGUUCUGAACAGAUGUGUCUAAUGCCAUCACAAAGACAUUAUAAUGCUUACAUGAGCUCUGCACCUGGAUGAAGAAGACUUUGUUCAGACUGAACUUCAGCAGGCCACCCAGAAAAAACUCAUCUUUCACGUGAAUCCAUUUAGUAACCAUUACAUUGCACUUCUCUGUAUAACACAAUACACCUGUGUUCCAAUAUUUAGCCUGUAUUUACUGUAGUCAUGUCUUAAUAAAUGAUUUCCAGGUUCAACUUUUUAUUUUCAAAAUAGUAGCCCCAGUUAGAGGGCCUCUUAUCCUAUAGAACAAGAGAGAGAGAAGAUCAAGAGGACCCAGAUUUUACUCCAGUGCUGACACAUAAACUCGUACUGUUUUACAAACCGCUCCCUCAUUUCUUUAGCUAGAAUGCACUGGAUGUGACCCAUAUGUUUUGCUUUCUGCUGAACUUCCAUUGAAGCAUUUAGAGACUAGUGAAAAACCAUGUCUCAACUAAAUGUGUUCAUUUCCUGUUGUUAAACCGCAGUUUAAAGAUAAGCAGCUUUGCAUUCUAUGAAUCCAUUGCAAAUCCUUCCCUUUUAGAUGAAUCAAACACACUUGCAUACAGACAUUUAUUAGCUCCCUGAGAAUUCAUACUCUGUUCUUGUGAACUUUGAAUCCUAUUGAUCUCUUCUUUAUCGAAUAUAAAGUGUUUAGACAUAGGGUCCUAGUCUUGAUCUCACUAAUUUUAAUGGGAACAAUACUGGGCUGCCCAGAUCUUUUCUCUUAUGUUUGGGUUUGUAUG
Long non-coding RNA from Trachemys scripta elegans, 1898 nucleotides. RefSeq lists it as uncharacterized. The transcript has 3 exons. NCBI's taxonomy places the organism in Eukaryota, Metazoa, Chordata, Testudines, Emydidae. The record is from RefSeq and is a predicted model, not a curated record.